GACGAACGCUGGCGGCGUGCUUAACACAUGCAAGUCGAACGGAAAGGCCCUGCUUGCAGGGUGCUCGAGUGGCGAACGCGUGAGUAACACGUGUGUGUUCCGUCCUGCACUUCGUGGUAUGCCUUGAGAACAGUGUCGAUAACCGGAUAGGAGCGCUCCUGAGGGAGGGGGUGGGAAGGAUUUUUUGGUGGGGGGGGAGCUGGCGGCCUAUCAGCUUGUUGGUGGGGUGAUGGCCUACCAAGGCGGGGACGGGUAGGCGGCCUGAGAGGGUGGACGGCCACAGUGGGACUGGGAUACGGCCCAGACUCCUACGGGAGGCAGCAGUGGGGAAUAUUGCACCAUGGGCGCAAGCCUGAUGCAGCGACGCCGCGUGGGGGAUGACGGCCUUCGGGUUGUAAACUCCGUUCGCUAGGGACGAAGCUUUUUGUGACGGUACCUAGAUAAGAAGCACCGGCUAACUACGUG
Molecule: ribosomal RNA, 465 nt
Filed under: uncultured bacterium
Lineage: Bacteria
Description: partial 16S ribosomal RNA
Rfam family: Bacterial small subunit ribosomal RNA
Source: RNAcentral